This is a long non-coding RNA of Lineus longissimus, 502 nucleotides long. RefSeq lists it as uncharacterized. The record is from RefSeq and is a predicted model, not a curated record. Lineage: Eukaryota; Metazoa; Nemertea; Pilidiophora; Heteronemertea; Lineidae. The transcript is spliced from 3 exons.
UGUUGUGUCGAAGCGGGAAUUUGUCUAACUGCAGUUGCCACUUCGUCAAAACAUCCACAGUAAAUGCGUUCCAGUAAGGAUCAAUCAGGUAGCUGUCAGUGGUAAGAUGGUUUCUAAUCCAGCAAGGGUGGCAGCACUCAACAUUCUCUAACUUCUUUGAGCUUGGUCUUUGGCAAUCUCUCACAGUUGAUGAUGUUAGUAUGGAUAAUUUCUUCACAUGACAAACUCUUUUUCAAGUCAGGAGUUAUAGUUUCUUCAUGUACAUAUCGGAAGUAGCAAACUAUUUUGGAUUUAUCAUCAAGGAAUUCGAAGAUGAUUUUAAAAUUAGCAGGGGUAGACGCAAUAAAAGAGACCGGGGUAGAAAAGACAGUGUGCCUUAGAGAAGUUCGUCCAAAAGAUAACGUGAUCAUUACAGAGGAAUUCGCCAGAUACAUCGUCAUCUCCAAAUUGAAUCAAAAUGGCUAAGCAAUUUGUACCAACACUUUUGCCAAGCACAAAAUGU